AGCCCGAUAGUCUAGCGGUCAAAUGAAUUUCAGACUAAGGAUUCUGCCCUCUGGAGGCAGAGACGGCAGUUCGAAUCUGCCUCGGGCUA
RNAcentral lists this transfer RNA (89 nucleotides) under Candidatus Nitrosotenuis sp. DW1. Its description in RNAcentral is "tRNA-Gln". It matches the Rfam family "tRNA". Rfam says of the family: Transfer RNA (tRNA) molecules are approximately 80 nucleotides in length. Their secondary structure includes four short double-helical elements and three loops (D, anti-codon, and T loops). The record is from RNAcentral. Lineage: Archaea; Thermoproteati; Nitrososphaerota.